CCUAGGGGAGGCUGCAGUGGGGAAUAUUGGACAAUGGGCGAAAGCCUGAUCCAGCCAUGCCGCGUGUGUGAAGAAGGCCUUCGGGUUGUAAAGCACUUUCAGUGGGGAAGAAAGCCUUGGGGCUAAUACCCUCGAGGAAGGACAUCACCCACAGAAGAAGCACCGGCUAACUCCGUGCCAGCAGCCGCGGUAAUACGGAGGGUGCGAGCGUUAAUCGGAAUUACUGGGCGUAAAGCGCGCGUAGGCGGUCUGAUAAGCCGGUUGUGAAAGCCCCGGGCUCAACCUGGGAACGGCAUCCGGAACUGUCAGGCUAGAGUGCAGGAGAGGAAGGUAGAAUUCCCGGUGUAGCGGUGAAAUGCGUAGAGAUCGGGAGGAAUACCAGUGGCGAAGGCGGCCUUCUGGACUGACACUGACGCUGAGGUGCGAAAGCGUGGGUAGCAAACAGGAUUAGAUACCCUGGUAGUC
This 465-nucleotide ribosomal RNA is filed under the name Vreelandella stevensii. RNAcentral's name for it is "partial 16S ribosomal RNA". It matches the Rfam family "Bacterial small subunit ribosomal RNA", at positions 338 to 795 of the family's 1533-position model. Lineage: Bacteria; Pseudomonadati; Pseudomonadota; Gammaproteobacteria; Oceanospirillales; Halomonadaceae. The record is from RNAcentral.